GAUGAACGCUGGCGGCGUGCCUAAUACAUGCAAGUCGAGCGAACAGACGAGGAGCUUGCUCCUCUGACGUUAGCGGCGGACGGGUGAGUAACACGUGGAUAACCUACCUAUAAGACUGGGAUAACUUCGAGAAACCGGAGCUAAUACCGGAGAAUAUAUUGAACCGCAUGGUUCAAUAGUGAAAGACGGUUUUGCUGUCACUUAUAGAUGGAUCCGCGCCGCAUUAGCUAGUUGGUAAGGUAACGGCUUACCAAGGCAACGAUGCGUAGCCGACCUGUGAGGGUGAUCGGCCACCCUGGAACUUGGACACGAUCCAGGCUCCUACGGGAGGCAGCAGUAGGGAAUCUUCCGCAGUGGGCGAAAGCCUGACGGAGCAACGCCGCGUGAGUGAUGAAGGUCUUCGGAUCGUAAAACUCUGUUAUUAGGGAAGAACAAAUGUGUAAGUAACUAUGCACGUCUUGACGGUACCUAAUCAGAAAGCCCCGGCUAACUACGUG
This 497-nucleotide ribosomal RNA is filed under the name uncultured bacterium. Its description in RNAcentral is "partial 16S ribosomal RNA". It matches the Rfam family "Bacterial small subunit ribosomal RNA", at positions 28 to 507 of the family's 1533-position model. The record is from RNAcentral.